ACUAACAGGAUUCCCCUAGUAACUGCGAGUGAAGCGGGAAAAGCUCAAAUUUAAAAUCUGGCGGUCUCUGGCCGUCCGAGUUGUAAUCUAGAGAAGUAAUGCCCGUGCUGGACCGUGUAUAAGUCUCCUGGGAUGGGGCGUCAUAGAGGGUGAGAAUCCCGUCUUUGACACGGACUACCAGUGCAUUGUGGUAUGCUCUCAAAGAGUCGAGUUGUUUGGGAAUGCAGCUCAAAAUGGGUGGUAAAUUCCAUCUAAAGCUAAAUAUUGGCGAGAGACCGAUAGCGAACAAGUACCGUGAGGGAAAGAUGAAAAGAACUUUGGAAAGAGAGUUAAACAGUACGUGAAAUUGCUGAAAGGGAAACGCUUGAAGUCAGUCGCGUUGGCCAGGGAUCAGCCUUGCUUUUGCAUGGUGUAUUUUCUGGUYGACGGGUCAGCAUCAAUUUUGACCGCUGGAAAAGGUCCUGGGGAAUGUGGCAGCUCCGGCUGUGUUAUAGCCCCUGGUCGCAUACAGUGGUUGGGAUUGAGGAACUCAGCACGCCGCAAGGCCGGGUUUCGACCACGUCCGUGCUUAGGAUGCUGGCAUAAUGGCUUUAAGCGACCCGUCUUGAAACACGGACCAAGGAGUCUAACAUGCCUGCGAGUAUUUGGGUGGAAAACCCGAGUGCGCAAUGAAAGUGAAAGUUGAGAUCCCUGUCGUGGGGAGCAUCGACGCCCGGACCAGAACUUUUGGGACGGAUCCGCGGUGGAGCAUGUAUGUUGGGACCCGAAAGAUGGUGAACUAUGCCUGAAUAGGGUGAAGCCAGAGGAAACUCUGGUGGAGGCUCGUAGCGAUUCUGACGUGCAAAUCGAUCGUCAAAUUUGGGUAUAGG
This 869-nucleotide ribosomal RNA is filed under the name Agaricus sp. zrl133. Its description in RNAcentral is "eukaryotic LSU rRNA". It matches the Rfam family "Eukaryotic large subunit ribosomal RNA", at positions 64 to 921 of the family's 3401-position model. The record is from RNAcentral. Lineage: Eukaryota; Fungi; Basidiomycota; Agaricomycetes; Agaricales; Agaricaceae.